This 390-nucleotide ribosomal RNA is filed under the name uncultured bacterium. RNAcentral's name for it is "bacterial SSU rRNA". It matches the Rfam family "Bacterial small subunit ribosomal RNA", at positions 28 to 419 of the family's 1533-position model. The record is from RNAcentral.
GACGAACGCUGGCGGCGUGCUUAACACAUGCAAGUCGAGCGGUAAGGCCCUUUCGGGGGUACACGAGCGGCGAACGGGUGAGUAACACGUGGGUGACCUGCCCUCAGCUCUGGGAUAAGCCUGGGAAACUGGGUCUAAUACCGGAUAUGACCCCAUGACGCAUGUCGUGGGGUGGAAAGCCUUGUGCGGCUGAGGAUGGGCCCGCGGCCUAUCAGCUUGUUGGUGGGGUGAUGGCCUACCAAGGCGACGACGGGUAGCCGGCCUGAGAGGGCGACCGGCCACACUGGGACUGAGACACGGCCCAGACUCCUACGGGAGGCAGCAGUGGGGAAUCUUGCGCAAUGGGCGAAAGCCUGACGCAGCGACGCCGCGUGAGGGAUGACGGCCUGG